This 253-nucleotide ribosomal RNA is filed under the name uncultured bacterium. RNAcentral's name for it is "partial 16S ribosomal RNA". It matches the Rfam family "Bacterial small subunit ribosomal RNA", at positions 524 to 776 of the family's 1533-position model. The record is from RNAcentral.
UACGUAGGUGACAAGCGUUGUCCGGAUUUACUGGGCGUAAAGAGCGCGCAGGCGGUCGAUCAAGUCGAGUGUGAAAGCCCCCGGCUCAACUGGGGAGGGUCAUUCGAUACUGAUCGACUCGAAGGCAGGAGAGGGUAGUGGAAUUCCCGGUGUAGUGGUGAAAUGCGUAGAUAUCUGGAGGAACACCGGUGGCGAAGGCGGCAUCCUGGACCAACACUGACACUGAGGAGCGAAAGCCAGGGGGGCAAACGGG